GGGCGCGUAGCUCAGUUGGUAGAGCAGCGGACUCUUAAUCCGCCGGUCCCAGGUUCGAGCCCUGGCGCGCUCACCA
This 76-nucleotide transfer RNA is filed under the name Deltaproteobacteria bacterium. Its description in RNAcentral is "tRNA-Lys". It matches the Rfam family "tRNA". From Rfam's summary of the family: Transfer RNA (tRNA) molecules are approximately 80 nucleotides in length. Their secondary structure includes four short double-helical elements and three loops (D, anti-codon, and T loops). The record is from RNAcentral. Lineage: Bacteria; Pseudomonadati; Myxococcota; Myxococcia.